Molecule: small nuclear RNA, 109 nt
Organism: Etheostoma spectabile (orangethroat darter)
Lineage: Eukaryota; Metazoa; Chordata; Actinopteri; Perciformes; Percidae
Product: U5 spliceosomal RNA
Exons: 1
Source: RefSeq, a predicted model, not a curated record
UGGUUGGUUUUGUCUUCAUAACCCACAAGUCUUUCGUCUUUUACUAAAGACUUCCAUGGAGAGGAACACUGAUGAGUUGAAAUAAUUUUUGGUGGGCUUUGCUGUUUGG